UAAUUUAGAGUUCUACGAGUUAUACGUUCUGUUACAUAUGGUAGUCUAACAAUAUAUUGUGCCGUACUUCUAGCUAUUUAGUUAUUUUUGUAAUCUAUUUAAACAGAGUACUAUGCCUCUGUUUAUCAUGGAGGAAUACAUGAAUUAAUUCAUUUUUAUAAAAUCUUUUUCGCCAUUUUUCAUAUUCUCUUGUUGGUAUCAGAGCGGGUUCG
RNAcentral lists this long non-coding RNA (212 nucleotides) under Manihot esculenta (cassava). Its description in RNAcentral is "long non-coding RNA (MESC_LNC012086)". The record is from RNAcentral. Lineage: Eukaryota; Viridiplantae; Streptophyta; Magnoliopsida; Malpighiales; Euphorbiaceae.